GGUGGGGGUGUUCUGUGCAGUAAUCAAGAACGUCACUUUGCUAUACGAUUUUAAUAUUAUUUGUCGAUACGCGAUGUCCGCGAAAGAGCUGCCGAUAGCAGAAUUACGACGGGAUAAAACAUGGGUACCUUUCGUAGGCGACUUUGCGCUUUUGAAGGAUUUCUUCGCGCAGAAGAGACGGCGAGCGUGGCACGCGGUGCAAUUAUUUGACGCUCUUCUGCGUGGAUUCGGACAGAUCGUUUUUGCGAACAAUCCUCUCAGCGGGCUGCUGAUAAUAGUCACCUUGGCUGCGGUGACGCCAGGUACACUGGCGUUGUCCGCGACCACCGCCGGCCUUGGCCUCCUACUGUCCGUGCUGAUACGGGAACCCGACGCUAUCGUCGAGAACGGGUUAAGCGUCUACAAUCCCCUGCUGGUCGGAGCGGUGUCGUACGAUCUGAUCCCGCAAAUUUACGGAGGCUUCGAUUCCUUCAGCUCCCUACUCCUGCUCCUGGCUACGAUACUCAGUGUUUAUCUCUCGCGGUCCCUGAGAAGCGAUAAAUUUCCGUGCACAACGUGGCCAUUUAACUUGGUGGAGUUCACGUUGAUUUGGGCUCUCAUGACGCAGAAUGGCGCGGGCAUGCUGGCCAAGCCUGCGGAACUGGCGCUCGAAGUGGUAAGUCCACUUGACCACAAUGCAACAAGUGAGACGACGACAACGGACGGCGCCGGUUUCUACGGGCAGAAUGCGACCGGCGUUUACGUCGACUGGGGAAUGGUUGUACAUGGCAGCGUUGCCUCCGCGUCGCAGCUGUUCGGAGUCGACAGCGUGAUCCUUGGAUCCGUCAUGUACCUGGCAAUGUUAAUAUACUCGCCUAUAACCACCGCGUUUGGGUACUUUGGCGCUCUCUGCGGAACCUUCGCAGGCUUGGAGCUCGGAGCGGACAGACACAAAGCUUACAGCGGCAUGUGGGGAUACAACAGUCUGCUGACCGGGGCUGGACUGGGAGGAAAUCUGCUGGUACUGAACGGUCAGACGGCCGUCGCCGCUAUCCUGGCGAUUAUUUACACUCCGCUCCUGCAGUACACCUUAGAAUCGAUAUUUGUAAAGUUGCAGCUGCCGGUGCUGACGCUACCGUUCGUGAUAGCGACUUCGUUGUUUCUAAAAUUAAGUGACGGCAAGGAGGAUCUAAUAUUUCCAGGGCCCGUAUCGAUCACCUUUCCCGAGAAAGAGCGUCAUCAUUAUCUCGCCCGGCGCGCGGCAUUUCGAGAGAGAUCGGGAUAAGCGGAGCCGCUUUAUCAUCACGGCUUAUAUCGAAUUCCAUCCUGCCCAAACCUGAUUUGCGACUGAAACUUUUCCCGCGAUAAGAUGGCUCUCAGGACCCAUCAAAACCACGCCCUACAAGAAGGACGGAAAUUGAUUCCUGCCCUACUCUCAGCUUGAAGAUACUGCGGAAGAACUUGAGCUCGUCGCCCGGAACGAAAGGAGGCCAAUCCCGUGAGAUAAUUAAUGGCUCAUCCCUCUCCCGAGUGAUAUAUAAUUACAAUUUAGUAUUACGUAGGCGAUGAUUUUGAACGUUUCUCAUAUCGUCUUAAUCGUUCGAAAUAAUCUACCAUUUUUAAACAUUUAUACAAGUGUAAUUUAUGCCUGACUGAAAGUCGAUCAUUUCGCUUGAUUGAAUUCGCCGCGCAUUUCCGACGACGGCCUUCAAUUUAAGUAACGUCAAUCCAAUAGCCGAGUUUAUCAUUUGUAUCUUCUCGAGUAGGAAAGGGUAUCCUUUUCGUCGAUUCGCUCAUGCGGAAUAGAUAAAGUUAUUCUUGCGAAACUUGCGAAUGUAUACUUUAAGCAUCAGUGAAUGCUAAUAGGAAUUUAUGCUAAUAGGAAGUUGUGUAUUAUAUCGAUAAAAUAGCUGGAGAGAUACAUUAACUACUCUAUUGUACUUUCUUGUACCGCACGAUAUUUCUUGUAGACCAACAACAAAGGUAAUAUGUUGAAACCCUCGAAAAGUACAAGAUGGAAAAUUUACGAAGAUAAAUGAAUACAUGAAAAGUUAUACAUUGUACUGACGGUAAAAAAUUCAAAAGUUACAAAACAGAUGCAAUAUAAUGUUAAUGUGCUGGAAUAAUUGUAUUUAAAAAAAAGGAUCUAAUUUUUCAAGCUGUGCACGUACGCUCGUCUUUUUGUAUGCAGUUCUUGCGCUAACGUCCCAGACACAUUUCUGAUUCCACCAAGAUUCCUCGCCGCGUUUCCAGAUAAUGGCGUACGUGCUAAUCGCCUUAUCUCGCGUGGGCGAUCCAGGACACGGGCGGGAAGAUGAUAUAUAGAGGCUUCUUCGGGUGGGAAAAGGGAAUUUUUUCGGCGGGGCGCCUUUACCGAGCCACGAGAAGCUACAGGUCGAUCGAUGGAAUUUAUUUCAACGCUUGGUCGUCACGGGCUAUAAAUUCGAUUGCUAAAUUUGCUGCAGAAGCCAAGUUGUGUCAGGGGAGCCGUACGUGGAGCUCAACUGCUUAUUGCUACUAGAUUUCGAUUCUAGACUUCGAUUCCUCACAUUCAUGCGAAGGCGAACUGCCGCGAAAUAUGAGACCGACGAAAUUCCGCGCAUGAAGAAGAGAACCCGAUUGGAACUCUUCCAAGGCGAACGGAUGGCGACGGGCAAUCUGCGAAGGAAAUUUGUCCCGAGAACAAGUGUUAACAAAGACAAGGUUGGCCCUCGGGGCCUUCCUCGACCUAAUCAAACUAGCGAAAAGAACGCCUUGCCGUUCGUGCGGGUACGACUGCCGCAACUCGCCCUCGUUGUUCAAGAAAGGGGAGCUAAUGAAGAAAAGUAGAGCGAGAUUUCUGGUUGCCCGCACGAACGUUACUUCUAACGCGAUUGUUACUUUGGCAGCAUUUUUUUUCUAGUUAUGAUUUGUAACUCGAGAUUUAUCCGAUCUCGAUUAUUAAUAUUAAGAAUCGCUGUAACAUGUUACGACGUUGUUAAAACGUAGAAUUUCCUCUUCGUCUGGUACAUUGCGAGUACCAUGAUCUAUCUUUAUAACGCAACUGUGCCGUUGCAAGUAAUAAAAUGAUUUAUACCUCGAUAAGCCCGGUUUAAUACAGGGCCCAGAUGCCUCCGCAAAGUCGGCUUUUCCUCUGCGAGACCCGUGUAGCGGACAGUCUCGCGUCCGAUAAUUGUACGAUAGUAUGUUAAAAUUAAUGCUGGUAAUUUGCGGUUUGCCGACACACGCAGUUUGCCAUUUCGGGAGUAAUUAAAGGCCAAUAAUUUUCAUUUGGUACAUCAACUACUCACUAAUAGCAGGACAGUGAGUACGUUAUAUAUUGAUAAUAUAAGCGCUGCGAAUUAAAGUUUAACUAAAUUAUAAAAUUUAUGUGAAGUCAAA
This is an RNA transcript of Vollenhovia emeryi, 3360 nucleotides long. It is a transcript of the gene named urea transporter 1-like, with no coding region annotated. The transcript is spliced from 11 exons. The record is from RefSeq and is a predicted model, not a curated record. NCBI's taxonomy places the organism in Eukaryota, Metazoa, Arthropoda, Insecta, Hymenoptera, Formicidae.